Non-coding RNA from Zea mays, 109 nucleotides. The record is from Rfam. NCBI's taxonomy places the organism in Eukaryota, Viridiplantae, Streptophyta, Magnoliopsida, Poales, Poaceae.
ACUCUAGUAUUGAGCUCAAUCCAUGUGUAUUGAGGUGGAUUGGGGUGUAACUUAAACUAAUUUACACCCCAAUCCACCUCAACACACGUGGAUUGGGGUCAAUACUAGA